GAUGAAGUGCAUUUUGAAGGAAAACAUUGCUUGUAUUUGAGUGAGGAAGGGGCAUCUUUAAGCUCGGUAUUACUUCUCUGAAGAAGAUACCUGUGGCAACCAAACUGGGCUGGUGUCUUUUGUAACACUCUGCACGUCGCUGUUUCUCAAAUACUUUAAACUGUUCACAAUUGUAUGGUCAGCUUUGAACAUGGACAAACCAUGAAAUAAACAUUUG
Molecule: long non-coding RNA, 217 nt
Filed under: Mustela putorius furo (domestic ferret)
Lineage: Eukaryota; Metazoa; Chordata; Mammalia; Carnivora; Mustelidae
Description: lncRNA (ENSMPUG00000023827.1)
Source: RNAcentral